CACAAUGACUCUCGGCAACGGAUAUCUCGGCUCUUGCAUCGAUGAANAACGUAGCGAAAUGCGAUACUUGGUGUGAAUUGCAGAAUCCCGUGAACCAUCGAGUCUUUGAACGCAAGUUGCGCCCGAAGCCAUUAGGCCGAGGGCACGCCUGCCUGGGUGUCACA
Molecule: ribosomal RNA, 164 nt
Filed under: Sesbania formosa
Lineage: Eukaryota; Viridiplantae; Streptophyta; Magnoliopsida; Fabales; Fabaceae
Description: 5.8S ribosomal RNA
Rfam family: 5.8S ribosomal RNA
About the family: 5.8S ribosomal RNA (5.8S rRNA) is a component of the large subunit of the eukaryotic ribosome. It is transcribed by RNA polymerase I as part of the 45S precursor that also contains 18S and 28S rRNA.
Source: RNAcentral